CGUUCCUACGGGGGGCAGCAGUGGGGGAUAUUGCACAAUGGGGGAAACCCUGAUGCAGCGACGCCGCGUGAGUGAAGAAGUAUUUCGGUACGUAAAGCUCUAUCAGCAGGGAAGAAUAAUGACGGUACCUGACUAAGAAGCCCCGGCUAACUACGUGCCAGCAGCCGCGGUAAUACGUAGGGGGCAAGCGUUAUCCGGAUUUACUGGGUGUAAAGGGAGCGUAGACGGCUGUACAAGUCUGAAGUGAAAGCCCGUGGCUCAACCGCGGAACUGCUUUGGAAACUGUAAAGCUGGAGUACUGGAGG
RNAcentral lists this ribosomal RNA (305 nucleotides) under uncultured bacterium. RNAcentral describes it as "bacterial SSU rRNA". It matches the Rfam family "Bacterial small subunit ribosomal RNA", at positions 334 to 655 of the family's 1533-position model. The record is from RNAcentral.